This 617-nucleotide long non-coding RNA is filed under the name Homo sapiens (human). RNAcentral describes it as "HSALNT0405596". The record is from RNAcentral. Lineage: Eukaryota; Metazoa; Chordata; Mammalia; Primates; Hominidae.
GGAAGCCACCUCUGUCUCCACCACGGCCACCUCUGAACAUUCCACCGGGACCACCACGAUCCAUGAGGCCACCUCUUCCUCCCCGCAUGCCACCAGGGCCACCUCUGCCACGAUCACCACCUAAGGUGAGAAUAGCAGGGCGAAAGCAGUCAGUGGGUGGCUGCAGAGGCCCUGUGGACACUGUGGAAGCUGCUCUGCUUCCUUCUCUCACAGCAGAACAAACCAGACACUUCACUCAAUCUCGGCAUCGGGCUGACAAUUUAGAAAUGAGGACACGACAACUCAAAGUUGUUAAGCAGAGGGCAACUGCAGUUUACCAAGCCCACAAAUAAGAAAAGAGGUUUAGCACCAGGAAGCUGAGGGGACACUCAUGAAACCUGCACCUACCCGGGGGCGGAAAGGGUGGCGGGAGGAAGCCUUCAGGCUUUGGGGCCUUACACUGGUUGCACUCUGUUCUCCAGGCGAAGUUCUGGUUUCCACAACCCCUGCAUACAAUUACAUCACAGCAGAAAUCACCAAUUGAACUAAGGAAGAUAAACAAGGAAAGGUGGUGUGUGAACAGGUACACACUCACUAUCAAGAGGAUCUAUGUACACCCAUGCUUUAGGGCACAGCCU